Long non-coding RNA from Papaver somniferum (opium poppy), 975 nucleotides. RefSeq lists it as uncharacterized. The transcript is spliced from 4 exons. The record is from RefSeq and is a predicted model, not a curated record. NCBI's taxonomy places the organism in Eukaryota, Viridiplantae, Streptophyta, Magnoliopsida, Ranunculales, Papaveraceae.
CCCAGCCGCAACAUCCUCUUCUCUCCCUAUUUUGGUUUUUUCUUUCUCGCCUCCCUCUUUUACUCUAAUGGAAACCCUUAAACUUGCGGGUUUAAGGAACGAUUUUACUGGCGAUAUUUUUCGGUAAACGGUGCUGGAGCGAAUUUAGCGGGUUUUAUUGAUUAGGUUUGCAACGAUGGUGCUUAUCUUUUGGAAAAUGUGGUGUAUGAUAUAUAGCUACAGAUCUGAUCAGCAGUAAAGACUUCUGCUCAAAGCAUCUUCAAUAAUGGUACAUAGAGGUGAUGUAUGUCUUAUUCUCAUGGUUUUACUUCAUGAUAGUCUAGGAACAAUUGGAUCUUUUGAGGUUCAUACUUGAAACCAAGUAUGUAAAGAGUUUGUUGGGUGCAAGAUGGUAAGGCAACAGAUAGGCUGUUGUAACACCACUUAUUGUGCUCUUUUUUUGUGCAGAACCCAAGUCGUAUGGGAAUUAAAUUUUCCAAAUUUGGAUUUGGCUGUUCUGACUAAUGGUUAUCAGGGAAAAAAUGAUUAGAUCUUUUGUACAGUGGGAAAAGUGAAAUAUUAACAACUUUUUUUCUUUUCUGUUGUGUGAAAUAUGGUUUUUGGCGGGAUAUGGCGACAGAUGAACAUUGCAACCUGGUUUGUACGGUACGACUUAGAAAACGUAGAUAAGGUAACGUGGUUCUACAAUUCAAUCCCAGAACUCCAAUUCAUUUGCAGGAGGAGCCUUUCUAUUGACAAUCAACAUAGAGAAGAACACUGAGAAAUUUCAUUAAUCCUUUUGCAGUGUGAUAAGAAAUUUCAUUUCUUUCAUUGGUAACUAAAGUAGUGAAUAACCUUGGUAUGAUGAUUUUUCAUUCUACGCUUAUUCUAAUUUUGUCAGUCAAGGAAAGAUGUACACAUAAAUUUUGUCAGUCAAGGAAAGAUGUACACAUAAAUGACAAAUGAGUUGUUGAAUACUAAAGCUAGGCUUGGGAA